CACGUAGGGUGCGAGCGUUGUCCGGAAUUAUUGGGCGUAAAGAGCUCGUAGGCGGUGUGUCGCGUCGGCCGUGAAAACCUGCAGCUUAACUGUGGGCUUGCGGUCGAUACGGGCAUCACUGGAGUUCGGCAGGGGAGACUGGAAUUCCUGGUGUAGCGGUGAAAUGCGCAGAUAUCAGGAGGAACACCGGUGGCGAAGGCGGCUUUCUGGACAGAUACCGACGCUGAGGCACGAAAGCUAGGGGAGCAAACAGG
This 254-nucleotide ribosomal RNA is filed under the name uncultured bacterium. RNAcentral describes it as "partial 16S ribosomal RNA". It matches the Rfam family "Bacterial small subunit ribosomal RNA", at positions 524 to 776 of the family's 1533-position model. The record is from RNAcentral.